UACGGGGGAUGCAAGCGUUAUCCGGAUUUAUUGGGUUUAAAGGGUGCGUAGGCUGUGAGGUAAGUUAGCGGUGAAAUGCCCCCGCUCAACGGGGUGAAGUGCCAUUGAUACUGCCUUGCUGGAAUGCGGAUGCCAUGGGAGGAAUGUGUGGUGUAGCGGUGAAAUGCAUAGAUAUCACACAGAACACCGAUUGCGAAGGCAUCUCACGAAUCCGCUACUGACGCUGAUGCACGAAAGCGUGGGUAUCAAACAGG
RNAcentral lists this ribosomal RNA (254 nucleotides) under uncultured bacterium. RNAcentral's name for it is "partial 16S ribosomal RNA". It matches the Rfam family "Bacterial small subunit ribosomal RNA", at positions 524 to 776 of the family's 1533-position model. The record is from RNAcentral.